AACGUAGGAGACGAACGUUAUCCGGAGUUACUGGGCGUAAAGGGCGUGUAGGCGGUAUGUUAAGUCUGGCGUGAAAGCUCUCGGCUAAACCGGGAGAGGUCGUUGGAUACUGACACACCAGAGGAUGGUAGAGGCGUGUGGAAUUCCGGGUGUAGUGGUGAAAUGCGCAGAUAUCAGGAGGAACACCGGUGGCGAAGGCGGGUCUCUGGGCCGAUACUGACGCUGAGGAGCGAAAGCGUGGGGAGCGAACAGG
RNAcentral lists this ribosomal RNA (253 nucleotides) under uncultured bacterium. RNAcentral's name for it is "partial 16S ribosomal RNA". It matches the Rfam family "Bacterial small subunit ribosomal RNA", at positions 524 to 776 of the family's 1533-position model. The record is from RNAcentral.